This 2175-nucleotide long non-coding RNA is filed under the name Homo sapiens (human). RNAcentral describes it as "long non-coding RNA NONHSAT203009.1". The record is from RNAcentral. Lineage: Eukaryota; Metazoa; Chordata; Mammalia; Primates; Hominidae.
AAUGUCUUUACCACCUCUCAGAGGGACUUAAAUUUCAGCUGUCUGAGCUUGACUAAUUAUUGAGGUAGAGUUAAAAGUUGUUCGGUGCUCAGAGAGGACAGGGGAAAUAAAAGCAGCGAACCACAAAACUAUGUCAGGAAAGUUUACUUUUCAUGGUCAUUGAAUUAACGAAGGAACAAGCCAGCUCCGGCCCAUCUCUGUCUGUCUUCACGUCACCCUGGGCCUCCCUGCCACAAAGGGAGACAUAUUUGUCAGACCCAGACACUUUUGAACAACAGAAUGCUCCUUUAUUAGAAUAAAAGACCUCAGUUUUAUUUCCUGGGAUUGAAUAACCAUGGCCAACAGUUUCUUAUAGACAACAGUUUUCAUUGAAGUCAUAUCAUACUAUUGCAGUGAGCGAAACAUCCCACAGAAUUUUUGUGAAUGAAAAAGGAAAAGUUCCCAUGCUGUUCGUUUAAGAAAAUGUGAAAGUUCACUGUUAAUGUGAACAGUAUUGUUUAUGUGAUUGUGCAGGUGAACAACCAAGGAUCUGUACAGGAAGCCUGUGUGACAGAGCUGGCUGGCACAGAUGCUGACAUUACAUCACAUCACAAGUUUCAGCAUAUCCAGAGCAAAGAUGAGCAGGUGCUUGGAGCAGGGGUAGAACGGGGACAAUCCUGCUCUUGCCGUAGACAGAAAGUGGUGCUUUGACCUCCUCGUCCUGUUGCUGUGAUAACGUCGUGGGUCUCCCAGGACUGCAGGGAUGAACAGGACCCAUUGCUGCAGCCCCUACCCAGGAGCUUUUCAGUGCAAUGCUUGUGUCUAUAACAGGAGAGCACUUAGGGUAGAAGUUACAGAUUCACACUGAAACACAGCUCUUCCUGGGUCAUGAGCCUGCUGGUCUUCAGAUUGGAACUACACUAUCAGCUUUCCUGUGUCUCCAGCUUGCUGACUGUGAAUCUUUGGACUUGGGACUUGUCAGCCUCCAUAAUUUAUUGAGCCAAUUUGGUAUAAUAAAUCUCUCUCUCCCUCUCUCUCUGUAGGUAUAUAUUAUUUGUUCUGUUUCUCUGUAGAACUCUAGUAUAUCCCUUUCCCAGGGUUUGUUGUUGUGGCUAUUUGUUUGUUUAAUGACUUUCUUGAAGUAAUUCAUACAGUUGUACUCUUUGUUGUGUGCUGCCCAUGUAGUCUCUACUUGGUUAGUUUAGUGGUCAGCUAAUGAUUGAACAGACAUUUGCUUAAAUUCCAGGACCAAUAAAUCUCCCUCCCACACUUUGCUGAGAGGCUGUGUGUGUGUGUGUGUGUGUGUGUGUGUGUGUGUGUAUGUGUUGGGACACACCUUCAAUUCUAGGGAAGUUCACAACUCUGCCUUAGUCUUCACUUCUUGCUUGUACAGAACUAACUCUCAGCUAGAGUUGAGAGAUUAGGGCCUCUUCAGGUCUUUCCUGAUCAUACACACAGUCCUGCAAAUGCACAUGGCUAUCUAGAUUCCCAGGAGUAUGUCAAAACUUUUCAAAAUCUCCUACAGACCUCUAAUGACCCACACUUACCAUUUAAUUAUUUUGGUUAGCCUCUUGUUUGCCCCAGCUUGGAGUACUGCUUCAUGCAGCUGCAAUAAUAAACAAUUGCCACUGACUGUUUUCAACAAAUGGUUUGGGUAUUGAGCUUUUCUCAUGGAGUGAACUCUGAGUCAGGUCAAAUAAAGAAAAUCUUUCUAAUUUUUUUUAAGGGAGCUGACAGAUCAAACAGUGGUAAUUCUCUCCGUGUAAGGCUUUUGGAGGAGAUCCAAACCCAGCCCUGUUCAGUGGCUGCCAGGAUUUUGGUUUUCACAGCCACCAUGACUGUGAGGCUCCCAGAUUUCAAAGCUACCACAUAGUUGGAGAGAGGAAAACAGGAAUGGAGCAAGUUAAAACACCACAAAAUGUACUAUUCUUAUCAAAGUUUAGCCCUUUUUUUUGAAUAAAUGCUUCUCUAAUUGUUGCAAGUCUUUGGUUAAUUUCCAAAGUUCUGAAAAGGUUAAUUUUGGCCAUUUGGGGCCAGUUUUUAAAUUGCUUUUAUAUACAACAGAUUUUGUCAGGUUCUUACUCUGCCAGUUUAGAAGUGCUUCCUCUAUUCUGCAAGUUUUACACGUUCAAAACUUUUGUCUGUCAUCUUUACACUUGCUGGAAAUAAAAGUUUGGCUGAAUAUAACAUUUUAAA